UAAUUGAAGAGUUUGAUCAUGGCUCAGAUUGAACGCUGGCGGCAGGCCUAACACAUGCAAGUCGAGCGGCAGCGGAAAGAAGCUUGCUUCUUUGCCGGCGAGCGGCGGACGGGUGAGUAAUGUCUGGGGAUCUGCCCGAUGGAGGGGGAUAACUACUGGAAACGGUAGCUAAUACCGCAUAACGUCGCAAGACCAAAGUGGGGGACCUCGGCCUCACACCAUCGGAUGAACCCAGAUGGGAUUAGCUAGUAGGUGGGGUAAUGGCUCACCUAGGCGACGAUCCCUAGCUGGUCUGAGAGGAUGACCAGCCACAUGGAACUGAGACACGGUCCAGACUCCUACGGGAGGCAGCAGUGGGGAAUAUUGCACAAUGGGGGAAACCCUGAUGCAGCCAUGCCGCGUGUGUGAAGAAGGCCUUCGGGUUGUAAAGCACUUUCAGCGGGGAGGAAGGCGAUGGCGUAAAUAGCGCCAUCGAUUGACGUUACCCGCAGAAGAGCACCGGCUAACUCCGUGCCAGCAGCCGCGGUAAUACGGAGGGUGCGAGCGUUAAUCGGAAUUACUGGGCGUAAAGCGUACGCAGGCGGUCUGUUAAGUCAGAUGUGAAAUCCCCGGGCUCAACCUGGGAACUGCAUUUGAAACUGGCAGGCUAGAGUCUCGUAGAGGGGGGUAGAAUUCCAGGUGUAGCGGUGAAAUGCGUAGAGAUCUGGAGGAAUACCGGUGGCGAAGGCGGCCCCCUGGACGAAGACUGACGCUCAGGUACGAAAGCGUGGGGAGCAAACAGGAUUAGAUACCCUGGUAGUCCACGCUGUAAACGAUGUCGAUUUGAAGGUUGUGGCCUUGAGCCGUGGCUUUCGGAGCUAACGCGUUAAAUCGACCGCCUGGGGAGUACGGCCGCAAGGUUAAAACUCAAAUGAAUUGACGGGGGCCCGCACAAGCGGUGGAGCAUGUGGUUUAAUUCGAUGCAACGCGAAGAACCUUACCUACUCUUGACAUCCAGAGAACUUGGCAGAGAUGCCUUGGUGCCUUCGGGAGCUCUGAGACAGGUGCUGCAUGGCUGUCGUCAGCUCGUGUUGUGAAAUGUUGGGUUAAGUCCCGCAACGAGCGCAACCCUUAUCCUUUGUUGCCAGCGAUUCGGUCGGGAACUCAAAGGAGACUGCCGGUGAUAAACCGGAGGAAGGUGGGGAUGACGUCAAGUCAUCAUGGCCCUUACGAGUAGGGCUACACACGUGCUACAAUGGCGCAUUCAAAGAGAAGCGAUCUCGCGAGAGUCAGCGGACCUCAUAAAGUGCGUCGUAGUCCGGAUUGGAGUCUGCAACUCGACUCCAUGAAGUCGGAAUCGCUAGUAAUCGUGGAUCAGAAUGCCACGGUGAAUACGUUCCCGGGCCUUGUACACACCGCCCGUCACACCAUGGGAGUGGGUUGCAAAAGAAGUAGGUAGCUUAACCUUCGGGAGGGCGCUUACCACUUUGUGAUUCAUGACUGGGGUGAAGUCGUAACAAGGUAACCGUAGGGGAACCUGCGGUUGGAUCACUCCUUAC
Ribosomal RNA from Sodalis praecaptivus, 1538 nucleotides. It matches the Rfam family "Bacterial small subunit ribosomal RNA". The record is from Rfam. NCBI's taxonomy places the organism in Bacteria, Pseudomonadati, Pseudomonadota, Gammaproteobacteria, Enterobacterales, Bruguierivoracaceae.